RNAcentral lists this long non-coding RNA (12415 nucleotides) under Sorghum bicolor (sorghum). RNAcentral's name for it is "long non-coding RNA (SBIC_LNC001593)". Lineage: Eukaryota; Viridiplantae; Streptophyta; Magnoliopsida; Poales; Poaceae. The record is from RNAcentral.
UUUGCUCAUUCAUUCUUCCAUAUCCUCGUCAUCCCUGAUCGCCAGAUCAACUUGUUCUGAUAAGUGAACCUGCCCUGGUUAUCACCAUGAAGAAUGACACGACCAUCCAAGGACAAAGCCACUACCGUUAGAACAUAAUUGAAAAGGUUUCCAACAGAAGAGGAUUCCAGUUUGUUUCCCAUAGCAGCCUUUAUUGCUCAAAGGCAUUUUAUGUCAGCCAUGGUUGUUGAUCAUUGCCCGAGAUGAGAAUAAAUUUUAUUUUCUUCGUUGUUGAGGGGGCACUUUGGUAGGAACUUAUGAGAUGGAACUAUCUUGGCAUAUUAUUAGUCCCACUAACAAUGACCCAGGCCCCAGGUUCAAAUCCAGCAGGAAGGCAAGUGAAGAACAACCCCUAGAAACAAACAGAAUAGAAGAUCCCAGGGACCAGCUCAGAAGAGGCUAGAGUGCAGAAGUUCCCUAAUGGAAUGUUCAAGCAUCAUAACCACUCAAGAGUAGUACAAAACAAAAAAGGAAGUCAUAACUCAUACGGCAUUAUGAUAUAAACCAUAAAAAUCUUUUGUAUAUGUAAACACCAGAAAAAGGUGAAACAUGUCCCACAUGUUUGCAGAUAGAAUGGUGGAAGAGGAGACAAGAGGAUGUAGUUUCGGGCCUGUUUGUAACGCAGAUUUCCCCAUAUGCUAUCCAGAACACCAUGCUGGCAGCCCAAUCCACCAACCAUAGCCUAAAUGAACCCCCCACUCAAUUCCCACCCCUUGCUGCUGCCAUUGACCCACCGGCGACUGCUCAAGAAGUCAAGAGUCUCCAUGCCAAUGUGUCAUGACACAGAAAGGGAGGCCCUAGAGAAGUGGAGGUCAGUGCCAACAGUGCAGUUGUCAUCACCACCAUCAGCACCAGACUAGAACCCAUUCCUAAGAUAUCGACUAAGAUUGAUGUUGUAUGCUGAAAAAGAGCUAUAGUAGUAUAGUAGGGAAGACAUAGCAACCAAAUUUGCAACUGACAGAAUGGGCAUAAAGAUAUAUAUAAAUCUGAUUGCUCGUAUCUCUGAGGCUAGACCAGGGAGUAAAAUGGCUGGAAUACACUGUUGAAGCUGCAGAUGGACAGGGAGAAAGAGGGAUGAACGGGCAUACUUCUCAAUGCCAUCCCAACAGAAAGAUUUCCUGUCCAACUCCAAUUCCAAAAAAAAAAGAGUCAAGCUCAUGGCGAUGACAAUGAGGCCUGUAAAUUCCAAAUUCAGCAAACAAAAUAGCCAUUUAUCACUGCUAAAAUCUCAGAUCUCACUUCCAGACACAGAUGCUGCACCAGAUAAUGCACCUGCUGUUUCCCAAGCACACAUCUCGCUAAAGCAUCCAGGCAAGGCACCUAAGGUGGUGGCACUGCACAACAUUGGAACAAGGCUGGCCAUUGCAGAUCUACACAUGUAGAUGACCAGCUCCAAAGAUUUUCAUAGAACUAGAGCUUUGUCAAACAGGGCCGUAGAUCCAACCCCGUUUACACAUGGCAAUAUGGCAUCCUCAAACUCUUAAAGCCAUGCAUACAUGUGAAAACAGUGUUACCCUAAACGCUAAAUGGUAAACAGUCGGUCACUUGUCAUUUAGCCAUUAUUCGGGCUAAACAAACACUUAAACUAACAAAAUAGCCCUCUGAAUGGGAUAAACAAUUGAUUAAAUGGAAACGGCACACUAUCAUGUAGUAUUUAAACGGUAUGUAAACAGGCUAAAUAACCAUUUAGACAAACAGUGGAAAAUUCACACAUGCGUGCGUACACAGAAAGGAGGGAGCGAGGUAGGCGAAGGGCUACUGCUGGCUGCUCAACAUGCACCUAAUGCCAACUUCUGACAUCAGCAUAUAAGCAAAUUUUCUUGAUUGGAAAACUUUGAAGCGGAGAAUAGUUGGCUAGUUGCAAAGAUGGAAGAAGAAAAAAAAGAGGGCUCAGCAUAACCUUUGCUCAAUCAUAGAAACCAAGCCCUACCUUCUCUUGCUGCACAAUUUACCAUCCUAAACCCUAAUGUAAGUGGCACUGGUUGUCACACAUAUCCAAAUGACCUUCCUAGGCAGAACCACAAACAAAAAGGGAUGAUUAAAUGUGCUUCAAGAGAAUAGAGGGUCAGCUCUAGUUACUCGCAGCUGCUUUGAUUGCUCAAUAGCAUGCAAUCAGAAAAGGUAGACAUCAUCGCCCUUCAUCAGCACUCGGUUCACAGGUUCGGGCCCAUUUCCAUGUCUAACACAGUCACCCUAAGUAAAUUUCACUUGCAAUGGCCACUGCCCACUGGGUGCUUACACCCAAGCCAGAAAACCAUCUCUUUAUAUCUCAUCAUCACAUAUCCUGAUCCUAUUCACACUGCCUAUCCAAAUGCCACCAAGGUGGGAGGAUGAGGAGCAGAAGGGCUAGGAACAUUCGGAGCAACGCACACAGAACCACAGGCACGGAUGCAGUAAAGGACAUGGUUGUGCACAUGUACACAUGAUAUAAUCUUCGGAAGGGAUCCCAGCUGCUUUUAUACUUUCUUUCUCUCUUUACAUUUGCAUUGGGAACCCUGUCCUACUUAUUCCUUUCCACAUCCUUCCACCUCCACAUUUGCCGAUUGGCUCGAUUUUCCCAAGUGCACAAAGAUUGGCAGUUGAGACAGGGACUUGUUGGGAGUGGGUUUUGGGAAACUCUUGGAGAUGCUCUUAGUAAGCAUAAUACAUGUAUACACUUCUAAUUAGAUCGGACCUGAAUACAAUAUCCAAAUAGCUUAAGUUAGAGUUUGGGUGCACAGUUUCGCACAGCAGGAAGGGAAGAGAAACCUAGAUGCUCAUCGCCGACGAAGUGCCCGGUUAACACCUGGCGAAGGGUCCAUCGAAGACCCGAGCGCGCGUGCACGCACACACACACACACACACACACACACACACACAGAGAGAGAGAGAGAGAGAGAGAGAGAGAGAGAGAGAGAGAGAGAGCCUGCAAGGUGAUCUGGGGAAGAAAAGGCAGGGAUGAACAGGACAGGAGCACAGCACAGGCAACAGCAGAGGAAGUAGAUCACUACUGCAGCCCCGCCGCUGUUUCUAUCCACGGUUCAUCCAUCCAUCAGGAGUACUGAAUGAGGGCAGCCCCAGCAGACCAAACCCGACUCGUAAGCCGCGUCAGGCACCACCGGACGGUUCCCAGCCCCGCCAGGGAAUGGAAUGGCGGCGAGGCAGCACCGUAGUGAUGGCAGUGUGAAGAGACGGCCGAAACUGAGAAUGGUCCGUGCACGGCCUCGAUUUCCGCAAGACAAAUUUAUUAAGCCUAAUUAAUCCGUCACUGACACAUGUUUAGGGUAGCACCACAUCAUGGACUAAUUAGACUUAAAAGAUUUGUCUCGCAAAAUAGUUGUAAUCUGUGUAAUGCUCCAUACAUGUGUCUAAAGAUACCAUGAGAGAGAGAGAGAGAGCCCGCAAGGUGAGCUGGGGAAGAAAAGGCAGGGAUGAACGGGACAUCCAGAGCACAGCACAGCACAGGCAACAGCAGGGGAAGUAGAUCACCACUGCAGCCCCGCCGCUGUUUCUAUCCACGGUUCAUCCAUCCAUCAGGACUACUGAAUGAGGGCAGCAAAAUGUGUGCAUUUGGUUUUUCUACACAAUUUGAAUUUAAAGAAAAAAAACACUUCACUUAUGGAUCCUACUUUGGCAGCAAUUCAAGCAAAAUAACAAAGCAAACAAUUCAGGAUGUUGCAAAGUAAUAGCUCUAUAGCGUUGGGACGUCUGAUCAUCAGACACUGAAGAACAGUUCCAAACAAGAAAGGAAGGUGAAUAGACAGGCGACAAAAAAACAUCAGAAAAAAAAAACGUAUAGGAACUACCAAAAUGGAUCAAUGCUGCACCUUCCACGGCUAUAAUAGUUGCGAUGGCCUCCUAAGUUCAAACUCAUCCAGCUCCAACUGGAGGAGUGCAUGAUCUCAACAUCUCAUGAAAUUACUGCAAUAAAUUCUGGGAUGAACAAAGUUAACCAAAAAUAUCCGUCAUGCAAACCAAGGACAAUGCAAACACUGAUAGCAGAAUCAACGGCAAAAAUUAGGAAACAUUUCAACCAACAAAUCAAAAAAAUUCAAAUGGGAACACAUAGCAUUAAGACAAGCGCAACAAAAGGAAAAAAGAUACAACGUCCAUCUCUAUUCUUAUUUUUUCUCUUUUUGUGUGUGUGUUUGGGGGGUUGGGGGGCUCAGCUUCGCCUUUGCUCAUUCAUUCAACCAUAUCCUCAUCAUCUCUGAUCACCAGAUCAACUUGUUCUCAUAAAUGAACCUGCCCUGGUUAUCACCCAUGAAGAAUGGCAUGACCAUCCAAGGACAAAGCCACUACCGUUAGAACAUAAUUGAAAAGGUUUCCAAGAGAAAGAAGAGGAUUCCAGUUUGGUUCCCAUAGCAGCCUUGAUUGCUCAAGGCGCUUAUGUCAGCCAUGGUUGUUGAUCAUUGCCCGAGAUGAGAAUAAUUUGUACUUUCUUCAUUCUUGAGGGGCACUUUGGUACGAACUUAUGAGAUGGAACUAACUUGGCAUAUUAUUAGUCCCACUAACAAUGACUCAGGUCCCAGGUUCAAAUCCAGCAGGAAGGAAAGUGAAGAACAAACAGAAUAGAAGAUCCCAGGGACCAGCUCAGAAGAUAGUGCAUAAGUUCUAUAAUGGAAAGUUCAAUCAUCAUAGCCAUUGAAGAGUAGUACAAGACAAAAAAGGAAGUGACAACACACAAGGCAUCAUGAUUCAUGAUAUAAACCAUAAAAAUCUUUUGUAUAGGUAAACACCAGAAAUAAGUGAAAUAUGUCCCACAUGUUUGCAGAAAGAAUUGUGGGAGAGGAGACAAGAGGAUGUAGUUUCAGGCCUCUUUGGAACGCAGAUUUCCCCAUGUGUUCUCCAAACCACCACCCCAUCAGCACCAGACUAGAACCCAUUCCUAGUGGCGCCGCAAGCAACGGCAAGGGAAGGAGAUCACCAAUUGCGCCGCCGCCGUUUCUAUGCAUGGUCUAUCCAUCAAUCUAUCUAUACAUCCAUUAGGAGUUAGGGAAGAAGGGCUGGAGGUGCUGCUGCUGGUGCUGGCUGCUCAACAUGUCCCUAAUGCCAAGUUCUGACAUCAGCAUGUAAGCAAAUUUUCUUGAUUGGAAGAAUUUGAAGCGGAGAAUAGUUGCAAAGACGGUAGAGAGAGAAAAAAAAAGAGAGGGCUCAGCUUCACCUUUGCUCAAUCAUAGAAACCAAGCCCUACCUUCCCUUGCUGCACAAUUUACCAUCCUAAUGUAAGUGGCACUGCACUGGUUGUCACACAUAUCCAAAUGACCUUCCUAGGCAGAACCACAAACAAAAAGGGAUGAUUAAAUGUGCUUCAAGAGGGGAGAGGGUCAGCUCUAAUUAGAUACUUGCAGCAGCUUUGAUUGGUCAAAGGCAUGCAAUCAGAAAAGGUAGACAUCAUCGCCCUUCAUCAGCACUCGAUUCACAGGUUCAGGCCCAAUUCCAUGUAUUACACGGUCACCCAAAGUAAAUUUCACUUGCAAUGGCCACUGGGUGCUUACACCCAAGCCAGAAAAGCACCUCUUUAUAUCUCAUCAUCACAUAUCCUGAUCCCAUUCAGGGCAUCCGCAAGGGAAGAUGAGAGAGAGAGAGAGAGAGAGAGAGAGAGAAGCUCGCGAGGUGAGCUGGGGAAGAAAAGGCAGGGAUGAACGGGUCAUCCAGAGCACAGCACAGCACGGUGUAGGCAACAGCAGGGGAAGUAGAUCACCACUGCAGCCCCGCCGCUGUUUCUAUCCAUGGUUCAUCCAUCCAUCAGGUAAGCCGCAUCAGGCACCACCACACGGUUCCCAGCCCCGCCAGGGAAUGGAACGGCGGCGAGGCAGCACCGUAGAGAUGGCAGUGUGAAGCGACGGCCGAAACUGAGAAUGGUCCGUGCACGGCCUCGAUUUCCACUAGACAAAUUUAUUAAGCCUAAUUAAUCCGUCACUGGCACAUGUUUAGGGUAGCACCACAUUAUGGACUAAUUAAACUUAAAAGAAUCGUCUCACAAAAUAGACGUAAUCUGUGUAAUGCUCCAUACAUGUGUCUCAAGAUACCAUGGGAGUAACAUUAGAGGGAGGAACUAAACAAGGCCUUAGGGCACUCACAAUGCAGACUCUAUCAUAGAGUCUCGCUCAUAUGGUAUUUCGAGCUGUUAUAAUGGCACACAAGUAAAAGCAUCAAUAAUUACUCGCUCCGUUCCAAAUUAGAAGUCGUUGUGCCUUUUGGCACGACGACGGCGAGGACGAGGCGAAGGCCGAAGAGGAGAAGGACGAGGAGGAGGGGGCAGAGACCAUACCAAAACGAAACAUCCGCGACCAAUAUGCUCGAAAGCAAACCCAUCAAUGGCGGCUCAGAUCCCGCGUCGCCCGACCAUGCCCGCGACCGGAAGCCGCCGCGGACCCUGCCCCCACGGUCCCCAACCCCAGCCCCCGCCGCCGCAGCACCGUCGCCCGCACAAGCGUCCGCAAUCCGACGCGGCGCGUCGCGGCGGGGAGAGGGGUGGCCCCGGGGAGGCGCGGAUCCGAGGACGGCCGGCGCUCGGGAGCCGGUCCGGCGCCAACCGCGGCGCCCUUCCUCAUCGCCGCCGUCUUUGUUGCCAGGGCUGUGGGUUUCAGUGGUGUGGUCACGGGCCGCCGCGAGUGGGAACAAGCGGCACGAAUGGCAGAUUUGGAGGGAGUAGCCUCAGAGGGCUCGGCUCGCAUGCUCCGCCGCCGCCGCCGCCGCCGCUGCCCACACGCGGUGGCCUCACACUUAAACUAACGAGUGAGUAUUCUGGUCGGAGACGACGAGGUUUUUAUGCGGGGCUGGGGAGGAGGGGCCCACUCGCACGCGUCCACUGCCAGUCCAUCACCGCUCAUGGCCGAGCAGCCGUGGACCUUUAUUUCGGCCCAAAUCUAACUAGCUUCCUGGUUCAUGGGGCCCAUACGUUAGAUGCUACUCCUACGGAAUUUGGGCAACAAAACAUGUCCAUUUGGUUUUUCUACAGAAUUUGAAUUUGAAGAGAGAAAAAAACACUUCACGUAUGUCUGCAACAACACCAUCCAAUCAUGCCAUUCCGAGAUGAGAGCCAGAGCCGAUGCCUCCAAGGUUGAUGGACCAGAGCUGCCAGCACUAAGCAUGCAGCCGGGACGUCAGUCUCUCUCUACAGUACUGUACUCCCUAGGCCAUGGCCCAUCAUCCCUCACUGUCAUAGUCAAAGGCAGAGGCAGCAUUAAGGCCUUGUUUAAUUCAAACAAAAACUAAAAACUUUUCAAAAUUUCCUGUCACAUCGAAUUUUACGGUACAUGCAUGAAGCAUUAAAUAAAUAUAGACAAAAAUAAAAACUAAUUACACAGUUUAUCUAUAAAUCGCGAGAUGAAUAUUUUAAGCCUAGUUAGUCUAUGAUUGGACAAUGUUUGUCAAAUAAAAACGAAAGUGCUACAGUCCCGAAAACCAAAAAGUUUUCGAAACUAAACAAUGCCUAAGACCUUGUUUAGUUCGCAAAAAUUUUUGGCUUUGGCUACUAUAGCACUUUCAUCUCUAUUUUAUAAUUAUUGUCCAAUCAAGGACUAACUACGCUCUAAAGAUUCGUCCGCAAAUUACAGACAAACUGUAUAAUUAAUUUUUGUUUUUAUUUAUAUUUAAUGCUCUAUGCAUACAUCCAAAGAUUCAAUUUGACAAAGAAUCUUGAAUUUUUUUAGAAACUAAACCAGACCUAACCUGUCCCUCCAAUACAAAGGAUUUGGCCCCUAGCUAGCUGAGCCAAACCACACUCCCUCCAGGAUUUACCAUGUGCACACUAGUGCGCGCGGGCCGCGGGGCCACUCUCGUGUUUGGAACAAUGACAUUUUCAAUUAGUGAAGGGAGUCUAAUACAAUCGAACAAAAAAAAUGAGUCUGAAAUGCAAGCGAAGAAUCAGCUCGUGUUUUAUGACUAAAAUCCAGAGAUCAUUGAGUGGAGGAAACUUUGGCCAAUUAGCGUGCACAGCAGAGCAGUUCUACUGGUAAGCUUAAAUGAAACAAGGAGAACAGAAAGUAAGUGCUGCCACCAAAAUCAAGAAACAAAGAAAGAAAAGAAAAGAAAAGAAAAUAAGAAAAAAAAUAAAAAAUUGCACAAGAGACUGAGCCAUAACUCCAACAAGGGGGCUAAACUUCUUUUGACCAUAUGAACCAGCAAGGACAAUUCUUUGAAAAAAAAAGUUGCUUGGAUUCAAGCAAUUCUUUGAAAAAAAGAUGCUUGGAUUCAAGCAAGUUGGCAGGCUUCCUUCUAAAGAUGAGUUUAUUUCUAGCUUACCGAACUGCCCAACAUAUUAGAACUAUCAAAUUCAUGACAAAGAAAGAAAGAAAGAAAGAAAGAAAGAAAGAAAGAAAGAAAUAAAUAAAUAAAUAAAGAAAUAAAGGAAGAAACGAGAGCCUAGCAGAUCUGAGCUGUAUCAACUGCCUGCUGCGCACCACAACCAUCUUUGAGGCUUAUCACUAGGAGAUUCCAACAGUUAUUGGCAAAACCUGCUCUCUGAGUUGAGCAAUCAUGCAGAAUCAGAGGACAACCGAUCCGAAUCAAGUAUGGUAUCAUAUUAUCAGAGACAGUCAGUGUAUCUAUAAUUAGGUAUGUAUGGAGUUUAUUCCUUUCCUAGCAACAAACCAUGGAGUAAUAUCAAGACUGGCCUAACAAUCAUACAGGAAUGUUUUUUUCUCCUUUUUUUUUAAAAAAAAAGGGGAAGAUGCUGGCAUCGGGUGCGGAUGAGAUGGAACCCCCUACUCGUCUCUCUAUACAUUAAAGAGACAAGUCCCAUCGCAGCAUCCCCUAAUUAGAUGACUGACUGACUAUACAUAUGAUGAGCUAUUAAUUAUGGUAGUAUAGCCUGCUGCUGCUCAGUUUGCUGCUUGCUACUACUGCACGAUGGAUAGAUGGAUGGAUAGAUGAUUCAUUUGCUGUUGUCGCGUGAUCCAGCAUAGCCGUAUGGGUUCUUGCUUGCCCAAUUCCACAGAUCUCUACACAUCUCCUCGAUCCCACUUUGCCCUGCAAGUUUUCAUAUUAUUUUCAUUAUUAAGGAUCGAGAGACAACAUGCUGAACCAUAUAAGCCACAACUAGCAAGCAUACUUACUUCCAUUUGAGCUCUUUCUUUGCCUUGGCAGUUGCGGCAUAGACAAUCUCUUGUCUCCAGGUCUUCACCCAGCAAACAUGGUUGUGGACGCUUUUAUUGGAAAGCAAUACACCAGGAAGAAGGCAACAGCAGCCUCUAGUGGCUAAGUAUCAGCCACAGUUGCCUGUUAGGAGGCUGUUCCUUUAAUUUAGGAUCUACGGAGGAGAAAUCGGAGUUCAGUUAUCAGCUUGUGGUGCACAGUCGGUCAUUAGGAUAUAUAGCUAAGGGCCAUCUGAUUAGGGAGGGUGAGCAGAGAUAAGAGUCAUCACAGUCAGAGCCACCCAGGGAGGGUGAACCAAUUCUAUUACUGCUGCCAUUUUUAGGUUUAGCCAUUGUAAUCAUUCUCCAAUUUGUCAAUAAAGAACAGCCAGAUUCCUAGCUCUAUCAAAACACCAGAGAAUUUUCUGUACAGAAUUCAGCCGGUCAACCAAUAACUCGGAUGAAUGAAACAUCCAUAUAUUGGUGAAGAUAUAUCCAUGCAUGAUGGUUUCAACGUUCAAAUAACUAAGGCUAAUUCGUUCAAGGUUGAUUUUACCUUCCCAGAAACCUUCUUCAAAUGCAGCCACCAUUUCCAACACCGAUGUCCCCUAUCCUGUCCCCAGAUUGUAUACUUCACACCCUAGUACCCUACAUGUACUACAACCAACCAAUAGAUGAGCAUUGCAUCAUUAGCGAGCUUCAGCUGACUGCUUGAAUAUACAACAGCUGAGUUGUCCAUGAAGUAUAAUUAGGAGGAUUCCCCGCGCAUUGCCACGGGUAUGAAGGAAUAUAAAUAUGUUAGAAUGUUAAUCACUAAGAAUCUAUAUGUAUGGUGUUGGUAAUGCAGCAAUAUAUGUUAAUAAAUGAUGUGGUUUGCUAAUGUGAAUAGCUUCAAUGAAGACAUAAUGACAUGUGUUAGUUGGAUGUGUUAGUGCAUGCUGAUGUGGACACUUUGCAUGACGAGAUAGUUGAAUGUGCCAGUGGGAUGUUCUAGUGUAUGCUGAUGUGGACACUUUGCAUGGCAAGAAAAAUAGCUAGUGGGGUUUAUCUUUACAAGAGAUGUACAAUUGGUAACCAACCUAUUUUGUCCGAUUCUUCAUAGAACUUCGUCAGGGCUGCUAUAUGGCCAUCAACCAGGUCAACAACGUGGAUGUAAUCACAUACCUAGCAGUUUUUUUAACAGCAAAAUAUACAUCAGUAAUGAGCUGAGUUUCUAGACUACAUAACAGAAUGAACACGGAGCAAACUAUUCAAAAACCCUCCAUAAAUCUUAUCAUCCCCAGACCCUGCUCCUAAUGUUCGCACUGAACACAUAUAUUAGAACAACAUAUUAGAAAAUAGAUAGAUAUGGUUCUGGAUUGUUUCAGAAAUAUAUAUUCUAGAACUUUUAGCUAGCUAGAUAGCACAUCUCAUGGAGGCAAAACUCAGCAGCUCAGAUCAAUUAGCAACCAGCAGAGGAGCGACUAUCUGGGAUAGUUGCCUGAGAAGGAUGGUGAUGGUUACCUAAGAAGGAUGCAAGGCAACAACUUCAUCAGAGCUCGUGUGGUUCAAUCAGUGGGAGGAGCAACAAGAAGCAGCGGUCAGAGGGCGAGGCUCUGAUAAGUUGACCUUGUGCUGUUUCAUAGGUGGAAUUAUUAUAUCCCCAACAAAGUAUAGUAUUGACUCCUAACUACUCUUAGCUUUUGCGGCCGAACUUAUGAGCCAUGACCUAAACAUGCAGGCCAAGAAAUAGCCUGUUCCUUUGUGAACUGCACACACAACGAGAAGUUUUCACACACAUGACCAAAAAGUACAGCCACACUCAUGAUAGUAAUUUAGUAUGUCUAUCCAUUUGUUUGAUCAACCAAGAUUCAUCACGGUCAUGGUGCACAAUUAGGAUUUAGGACCAUUAAUGCCAAGGUUGUCUGCCCAAAGUAUUGUUGGAAGAAUGGAAGUGGUUAAAUAUGAGUUUGUCGGAAAAGAAAACAUUCUUUAGAUUUUAGAACAAAAUGACUAAAUGAGCAAUUAAUCCAAGUAAGCUUGUGUGUCCGAACCAAAAAAUAUGCAUCGAUAUCUACCCAGGUCAGGAAUCUUAAAUGUCAUCAAAUCCAAGUUAGUCCCAUUAGUAACAUGAUCCUGGUCCCAAGUUGAAAUCACUAGAAAAGGCAGGAUACCAUGAAGGAAAGAGAAUCAUAAACAUAAGUAUGAGGAUCAUAAUCAAAGUACAGAACAGAAUACUUGUCGAAGCACCACAUCAUUUUGAAUGCUCAGAUUUGCCCCAGUAUCAACACAAUAUUUGUAUAAGCACCAUGUACUCCCUCCCUCUCUAAAUGAACUAAGUAGGAACGUUCAUUCGAAUAUAUACAAUAUACUACACCACCACAGCAGCAAUGGCAACAAUUAGUUGCAAACUAGAUCCUAGUUUGGCAGCAAAUCAAGCAAAAUAACAAAGCAAACAAUUCAGGAUGUUGCAAAGUAAUAGCCCUAUAGGGUUGGGACGUCUGAUCAUUAGACACUGAAGAACAGUUCCAAACAAGAAAGAAAGGUGAAUAGACAGGCAUCAAAAAAACAUCAGAAAAGAAAACGUAUAGGAACUACCAAAAUGGAUCAAUGCUGCAGCACGGCUAUAAUAGUUGUGAUGGCCUCUUAAGUUCAAACUCAUCCAGCUCCAACUUGAAGAGUGCAUGAUCUCAACAUCUCAUGAAACUACUGCAAUAAAUUCUGGGAUCAACAAACUUAACCAAAAAUAUCCGUCAUGCAAACCAAGGACAAUGCAAACACUGACAGCAGAAUCAACGGCAAAAAUUAGGAAACAUUUCAACCAACAAAUCAACAAAAUUCAAAUGGGAAUACAUAGCAUUAAGAGACAAGCACAACAAAAGGAAAAAGGAUACAACGUCCUUCUCUAUUCUUUUUUUCUCUUUUUUUGUGUGUAUUUGGGGGGUUGGGGGGCUCAGCUUCGCCUUUGCUCAUUCAUUCAACCAUAUCCUCAUCAUCUCUGAUCACCAGAGCAACUUGUUCUGAUAAAUGAACCUGCCCUGGUUAUCACCCAUGAAGAAUGGCAUGACCAUCCAAGGACAAAGCCACUACCGUUAGAACAUAAUUGAAAAGGUUUCCGAGAGAAAGAAGAGGAUUCCAGUUUGGUUCCCAUAGCAGCCUUGAUUGCUCAAAGGCGCUUAUGUCAGCCAUGGUUGUUGAUCAUUGCCCGAGAUGAGAAUAUUUUUUACUUUCUUCAUUCUUGAGGGGCACUUCGGUACGAACUUAUGAGAUGGAACUAACUUGGCAUAUUAUUAGUCCCACUAACAAUGACCCAGGUCCCAGGUUCAAAUCCAGCAGGA